This is a long non-coding RNA of Cannabis sativa, 606 nucleotides long. RefSeq lists it as uncharacterized. The record is from RefSeq and is a predicted model, not a curated record. Lineage: Eukaryota; Viridiplantae; Streptophyta; Magnoliopsida; Rosales; Cannabaceae. The transcript is spliced from 3 exons.
AAUCGAUUGUAAGCCCUCCACACCGGAAAUUCAAGUUCGAUUCGUUGGUGGAUGCCCAUGAAGCCAAUCGUAUUAUCGAAGCCAAUCCUAAUAUCAUGACCCCAAAUUUUAAGCAGCCUAGGCUCAUCUCCAUCAAAUGUGGUAUGACGAUUCCCCAACACUAGAACCCACCUCCGCCCUCUUUUGCUUCUUUUGGAUUGGGUAUACGUGUAACUAUAAAGAUGGAUUAUCGGAUCACACCUCCUGCUAAGUGAGCCUUUCGUAAUGUUCCUCAAAACCAUAUAGUUCAUGAACUGACAAUGACAAAUAUAUUCCGCCAAAUAAGCAUGCAAUUACUUGAAAAUGUACGCGUCCAAUGUUGAGUUUCAACAUAAUCAUAUUCCUUCUUCUAGGUUUGAUAAUGUUGACUUUUAGGUUUCUUUUACACAUCCAUUGUUGUGCAAGCUCAAAUAGAUAAAAAUGGCAUGUACUUUACAAAUUCUAUUAUUUUUAUCUAUAAUACUUUGUUGUUGAAUCAAUUUUUUUUUCUCUUUUCCAUCUUAUAAUAUUCCUUAUUAUAAAGGGCAAUAAUAACAUUUCAAAAAAAAUUAGACUUUAUUGUACUAA